CCUACGGGGGGCUGCAGUGAGGAAUAUUGGUCAAUGGCCGGAAGGCUGAACCAGCCAAGUAGCGUGCAGGAUGACUGCCUUAUGGGUUGUAAACUGCUUUUUUACGGGAAUAAUUAUGAUCACGUGUGAUUAUUUGCAUGUACCGUAAGAAUAAGGAUCGGCUAACUCCGUGCCAGCAGCCGCGGUAAUACGGAGGAUCCUAGUGUUAUCCGGAUUUAUUGGGUUUAAAGGGAGCGUAGGCGGGAGGUCAAGUCAGCUGUGAAAUGUAUCUGCUUAACGGGUACACUGCAGUUGAAACUGGUUUUCUUGAGUGCGUAAGAGGCAGGCGGAAUUCGUUGUGUAGCGGUGAAAUGCUUAGAUAUGACGAGGAACUCCUAUUGCGAAGGCAGCUUGCUGGGUCGUUACUGACGCUGAUGCUCGAAGGUGCGGGGAUCAAACAGGAUUAGAUACCCCAGUAGUC
Molecule: ribosomal RNA, 460 nt
Filed under: uncultured Bacteroidota bacterium
Lineage: Bacteria; Pseudomonadati; Bacteroidota
Description: bacterial SSU rRNA
Rfam family: Bacterial small subunit ribosomal RNA
Source: RNAcentral